Molecule: long non-coding RNA, 965 nt
Organism: Nerophis ophidion (straightnose pipefish)
Lineage: Eukaryota; Metazoa; Chordata; Actinopteri; Syngnathiformes; Syngnathidae
Exons: 4
Source: RefSeq, a predicted model, not a curated record
GCGGAGCUAGAGGGGAGGCCGGGGUAGCACUGGACCCCCCUGAAAUCUGAUUGGACCUCCCAGGUGCCACCACAGAUGAUUGACAUAUCGCGGCACUGCACGUCUUGUCGGAAGGAGCCAGUUGCAUUUUUAAAUCAGUGACGCCUAUUGACUGCUAAGUCCCUCCUGUACAGUAGUUGACGCUAUGUACCACAAAGCGUUGAGAGCCACGUUCAUUAGGGGAGAAGAAAAAGAAUCGCCACUGAAGAAGAGGAAGAUUUGAACUGGAGUCGGUUAUCGUUGCUGGAGACCGGAGAGCCGGAGAUCAACAAAGUUACAAAGAAAAAGAAGGAUAACCUUCUCUUCGUAAAUUCCAUUAGACACAGAAGGAAAAGAUGGCAGCUCCCUUCCUGGGACUAGUCGGGAGAGAGAACUCACAACACAGCACAGCCCAUCUUCACCAGUUCCAUCAAAUGAGGACACGGAGGCCACUGACUCUAAUGAGGAUGUAGAUAAGCAACAAGAGCCAGACCAAGAGCCAGCUGUCUCCAGCACUUUUGCUCAUCCAAGAGGACCCAGUGGUAGAUCUACCUACCUGAAACUUGCUAAUAUUUCCAGAUGCAAAGAGGAGGGACCAGUUCAGCCUUGUCUGACACAAUUGCUGUUGAUACUCCAGUCAGCACUGCUUCCUGUGAGAGAAGCUUCUCUGCUUUAAAACUGAUUAAAACUCAUCUCAGAACCACAAUGGCUGAUGACAGGUUAAGUCACCUUGGAACUCUCAGUAUUGAGUCAAGGAGGGCACGUGCCCUCAACAUGGAUGACUUUGUGAAACAUUUUGCGGCUUCUCAUCAUAACCGACGGAUUAUGCUUUUCUAAACCUUUUCCCUUUUCUGAGAGAGACAGAGAGAGAGAACUAUGAAUGUGUUGGUGCAUUUUCACCAUCUUUGUAAAAAAUAGUUAUUAUUAUUAGUUCUUGAAAAAUUGUU